CCUCCAUACUGAGAUGUGCUGUCUGUCCUCCAUACUGAGAUGGCUGUCUGUCCUCUACAAAAUGUGCUGUCUGUCCUCCAUAUUGAGAUGGCUGUCUGUCCUCUACUGAGAUGGCUGUCUGUCCUCCAUACUGAGAUGGCUGUCUGUCCUCUACUGAGAUGGCUGUCUGUCCUCUACUGAGAUGGCUGUCUGUCCUCCAUAUUGAGAUGGCUGCCUGUCCUCCAUAUUGAGAUGGCUGUCUGUCCUCCAUACUGAGAGGGCUGUCUGUCCUCCAUAUUGAGAUGGCUGUCUGUCCUCCAUAUUGAGAUGGGCUGUCUGUCCUCCAUAUUGAGAUGUGCUGUCUGUCCUCCAUACUGAGAUGGCUGUCUGUCCUCCAUAUUGAGAUGGGCUGUCUGUCCUCCAUAUUGAGAUGUGCUGUCUGUCCUCCAUACUGAGAUGGCUGUCUGUCCUCCAUACUGAGAU
Long non-coding RNA from Oncorhynchus tshawytscha (Chinook salmon), 462 nucleotides. Lineage: Eukaryota; Metazoa; Chordata; Actinopteri; Salmoniformes; Salmonidae. The record is from Ensembl.